RNAcentral lists this ribosomal RNA (1696 nucleotides) under Salmonella enterica. Its description in RNAcentral is "partial 23S ribosomal RNA". It matches the Rfam family "Bacterial large subunit ribosomal RNA", at positions 1 to 1735 of the family's 2925-position model. Lineage: Bacteria; Pseudomonadati; Pseudomonadota; Gammaproteobacteria; Enterobacterales; Enterobacteriaceae. RNAcentral also lists the same sequence under 1 other name. The record is from RNAcentral.
GAGGUUAAGCGACUAAGCGUACACGGUGGAUGCCCUGGCAGUCAGAGGCGAUGAAGGACGUGCUAAUCUGCGAUAAGCGCCGGUAAGGUGAUAUGAACCGUUAUAACCGGCGAUUUCCGAAUGGGGAAACCCAGUGUGACUCGUCACACUAUCAUUAACUGAAUCCAUAGGUUAAUGAGGCGAACCGGGGGAACUGAAACAUCUAAGUACCCCGAGGAAAAGAAAUCAACCGAGAUUCCCCCAGUAGCGGCGAGCGAACGGGGAGGAGCCCAGAGCCUGAAUCAGCAUGUGUGUUAGUGGAAGCGUCUGGAAAGGCGCGCGAUACAGGGUGACAGCCCCGUACACAAAAGCGCAUGUGCUGUGAGCUCGAUGAGUAGGGCGGGACACGUGGUAUCCUGUCUGAAUAUGGGGGGACCAUCCUCCAAGGCUAAAUACUCCUGACUGACCGAUAGUGAACCAGUACCGUGAGGGAAAGGCGAAAAGAACCCCGGCGAGGGGAGUGAAAAAGAACCUGAAACCGUGUACGUACAAGCAGUGGGAGCACCCUUUGGGGUGUGACUGCGUACCUUUUGUAUAAUGGGUCAGCGACUUAUAUUCUGUAGCAAGGUUAACCGAAUAGGGGAGCCGGAGGGAAACCGAGUCUUAACCGGGCGUUAAGUUGCAGGGUAUAGACCCGAAACCCGGUGAUCUAGCCAUGGGCAGGUUGAAGGUUGGGUAACACUAACUGGAGGACCGAACCGACUAAUGUUGAAAAAUUAGCGGAUGACCUGUGGCUGGGGGUGAAAGGCCAAUCAAACCGGGAGAUAGCUGGUUCUCCCCGAAAGCUAUUUAGGUAGCGCCUCGUGAAUUCAUCUCCGGGGGUAGAGCACUGUUUCGGCUAGGGGGCCAUCCCGGCUUACCAACCCGAUGCAAACUGCGAAUACCGGAGAAUGUUAUCACGGGAGACACACGGCGGGUGCUAACGUCCGUCGUGAAGAGGGAAACAACCCAGACCGCCAGCUAAGGUCCCAAAGUCAUGGUUAAGUGGGAAACGAUGUGGGAAGGCCCAGACAGCCAGGAUGUUGGCUUAGAAGCAGCCAUCAUUUAAAGAAAGCGUAAUAGCUCACUGGUCGAGUCGGCCUGCGCGGAAGAUGUAACGGGGCUAAACCAUGCACCGAAGCUGCGGCAGCGACGCUGAUGCGUUGUUGGGUAGGGGAGCGUUCUGUAAGCCUGUGAAGGUGGCCUGUGAGGGUUGCUGGAGGUAUCAGAAGUGCGAAUGCUGACAUAAGUAACGAUAAAGCGGGUGAAAAGCCCGCUCGCCGGAAGACCAAGGGUUCCUGUCCAACGUUAAUCGGGGCAGGGUGAGUCGACCCCUAAGGCGAGGCCGAAAGGCGUAGUCGAUGGGAAACGGGUUAAUAUUCCCGUACUUGGUGUUACUGCGAAGGGGGGACGGAGAAGGCUAUGUUGGCCGGGCGACGGUUGUCCCGGUUUAAGCGUGUAGGUGUGUGUUCCAGGUAAAUCCGGUUCACUUUAACACUGAGGCGUGAUGACGAGGCACUACGGUGCUGAAGCAACAAAUGCCCUGCUUCCAGGAAAAGCCUCUAAGCAUCAGGUAACAUCAAAUCGUACCCCAAACCGACACAGGUGGUCAGGUAGAGAAUACCAAGGCGCUUGAGAGAACUCGGGUGAAGGAACUAGGCAAAAUGGUGCCGUAACU